AGUGAACGCUGGCGGCGUGCUUAACACAUGCAAGUCGAACGAGUAAUUGCUGUAGCAAUACAGAUUACUGCUAGUGGCAGACGGGUGAGUAAUACAUGGGAAUCUUCCUUGGAGUCUGGGAUAACUGUUGGAAACGACAGCUAAUACCGGAUAUUGCCGAGAGGUGAAAGAAUUUCGCUCCAAGAUGAGCCCAUGCAAGAUUAGCUAGUUGGUAGGGUAAUGGCCUACCAAGGCGAAGAUCUUUAGCUGGUCUGAGAGGAUGAUCAGCCACACUGGAACUGAGACACGGUCCAGACUCCUACGGGAGGCAGCAGUGGGGAAUAUUGGACAAUGGGCGAAAGCCUGAUCCAGCGACGCCGCGUGGGUGAUGAAGGCCUUCGGGUUGUAAAGCCCUUUCGUCAGGGAAGAUAAUGACGGUACCUGAAGAAGAAGCUCCGGCUAACUUCGUGCCAGCAGCCGCAGUAA
Molecule: ribosomal RNA, 465 nt
Filed under: uncultured bacterium
Lineage: Bacteria
Description: partial 16S ribosomal RNA
Rfam family: Bacterial small subunit ribosomal RNA
Source: RNAcentral